GGUAAAGGCGUGGCCCGUCAUAUUAUCUGAAAGCAACGAGAUUAAAGGACGCCGCUGGCGGCGUCUACUUUAAUCAACACAACAGAAAACAAAAUGGUGGAACAACCAAGACAGCCGAGUCGCGUCGUCUCCCUCCGGGCUGGACCUGGUGAGGUGGACACUGACACCCUGUUUGACGUGAACCUCAGGUACAUGUGGUGC
Molecule: long non-coding RNA, 201 nt
Organism: Etheostoma spectabile (orangethroat darter)
Lineage: Eukaryota; Metazoa; Chordata; Actinopteri; Perciformes; Percidae
Exons: 3
Source: RefSeq, a predicted model, not a curated record